Molecule: long non-coding RNA, 9746 nt
Organism: Monodelphis domestica (gray short-tailed opossum)
Lineage: Eukaryota; Metazoa; Chordata; Mammalia; Didelphimorphia; Didelphidae
Source: RefSeq, a predicted model, not a curated record
CUUAUCCAGGGGAGCAGGUAAAGAAAAAGAAAUAGUCUCAUUUAUACUAAUGAAUGAAGAAGUCAUUGCUAGGUUUUCCCACACAUAGGUUUGAAGAUGUUAAAAGGAACUUGAGAAUUUUCUUUUUCCUGGAUGCCCUGUAUUAAGCCCAUUCUUUGACACUUUCACAUAGAUCCCAAAGAACACAACUCAAAGAUACAAAAGGUCUGGGUGCUUAUUCUAUAGUCUGUAGAAAUCCUCUCUUCUUCCUUUCUUUUUUGUUGUUGCUGAAGGCAUAACAAUCCUACCAGGUACCAGAUUUGCAACCUCAGAGUAAUAGUCUGUUUCAUUUUCCUUCAUCUUACAUAUCCAAAAGGCUUUCUCUCCACUCACAGCUACCACACUUCUGUUCCAUCCCUUAUCACUUCUCUAGAUUAUUACAAUAGUCUCUUUACUAAUCUCCCUGUAUACAUGUUCUGCCCUUUUCAAUCUCUUCUUCACAUGGCUGCCACACUCAUAGUUUCCUUCUUUCUUGCUUCCUCUCUUUUUUCCCUUAAUUUGUCUGAGUAAUAAUCCUUAAAAAAAAAAAAAAGAGUGGCAAGAGCUAGGCAAGUGGAACUAAGUGACUUGCCCUGGCUUACACAAGAAGUAUAUGAGGCUAGGUUUGAUCCCAGGUCCACCUGACUCCAAGCCUGGCACUCUAUCCACUGAGCCACCUAGCUCUCCACCCUCAAUUUCUUAAAGCCCAGAUCUGACCAUGUUACUCUUCUACUUAAGAAGCUCCUUCCUGUUACCUCUUGGAUAGAGAAAACACAAAUUACUAUUUGGCAUCUAAAGUCCUUACCAACCUGGCUCCAGUCACUAUUUCAGGCUCACUACAUUCUUCAAAUUCUCUACAUUCCAUCCAUACCCAAUACACAGUGUUCCAUGUCCCAUCUCUGUAGAUUUGCACAGGUUGUUGCACAGGUUUAGAAAAGGCUCCCUCCUUCUCACCUCCACCUCUUAGAAACCCUAGCUUCCUCUGUCGUUCUUGUUCAUCUUUUGUUUUGGAAGACAACCAAAGACAUCAUAAAGGUGAUGUCUUGACUCUUGAGUGAAUUGGACUCAAGGAAGGCAAAGUUGCACAAAGUCAUCAGCCUCAGUUUCUUUUCCAGAGUCAUCAAAUUCCAGUAAUAAAAAAAAGUCAGGACAACUGGUGAUGGCCCGGGAUGUAGUAGAUGAUGACCUGAGCAUCUUCAAUGUCUGACCAAGCUCUAAAGCUUCACAGCUCCUACUUCAGCUGCCUUCAUGGCCACUAGAAUAGAUUCUUCUCAUCUGACUCUUCUGCCAGAAGGAAAGAAAUCUUCAGAUGCUUGUGGCAGAUACCUACAAUAAUUCACUGAUGGGUCUGAAGCCUGUUGGUUUCCCUCAGGUUACCCUUGACCUGAUUUAGCCUAUCUGCUGAGACAGUCUUCCCAGGUUGUGGUUGCUGUAAAUGCUACAACUUCCUGGGGCCACAGGUGAGAGCUGGGUGCCAGGUGGACACCAAAGGUGAAUGAGCAGCCCUGAGAAGGACUCAGCAAGCUCUCACUCCAGAGGAGCUAGUCUUCCCCAAAUAUCCCACGAGCUUCCCUAUAGGAGCAUAUCCUGAUUCCCCCCAAGGCAUUCCCUCAGAUUACAAAAUAUAUACAAAGUGAAAAUUUUACUUCUCUGUACAUAUGUGGUUUUCCUCUGACCGUGUUAACUUGUUGAAGUCAAGGAUUGUUUUAUUUUUCUCUUUGUGUUUCCACUGCCUAUCCCAAAGGCCUAGGAACUCUCCAAAUGCUUAUAAUAUGAAUGAGUAAGUCUCAGCACCCACUCAUACGCUGGGCAAAUCACUUAAUCUAAUUGCUUCCGUUUCCUCAGCUGUAGAACUUGGGUUUUUUUGGCAAAGAUCCUGGAGUGAUUUGCCAUCUUCUUCUCCAGGUCAUUUGACAGAAAUAAUUUGCUCAGAACACAACUGGAUCACACAACUAGUAAAUACCUGAGGCUAGAUUUGAACUCAGGUCUCUGCCCCUUAAAGUGUUAUAUAGACAUUAUUAUUAUUCUAUAAUCUUUUCUCAAGUAUUCCCUUUUCCCUGUUUUCUUUAAAAAACAAAACAAAAACAAAACCUUCUAUCUUAGAAUUGACACUAAAUAUCAAUAUCAAUUCUAGGGCAGAAGAAAGGUAAGACCUAGUGGAUAGAGCUACCAGUCUGGAGUCAGGAGGACUUGGGGUUCAGAUGUGGAUGCAGACAAUUCCUACCUGUGUCACCCUGGAGUCCUCAAAGUCCAGUGGAAUGAUAAGAGUCAGGAUGACUGGCGAUGGCCUGGGAUGUACUGGAUGACCUUGGCAUCUUCAGUGCCUGACCAAGCUCGAAGCCAUCCACAGCACCUACUUCAGUAGCCUUCACUGCCACUGGAACAAUCUGUUCUCAUCCCCCCACUCUGCUGGUGGAAAUCUUCACAUGCUCGGGGUAGACAUCCCUCUCACCCACUGCUGGGGUUGAGGCUUGUUGGUUGCUCUGAAUCUGGUUUCUGUGCCCCCCCCCUCCCCGUGCCUGCUACAGCUUCUUGGAGCUAGAGGUGAGAGUUGGGUGCCAGAUGGGCACCAAAAAUGGAUGAGCAGCGAUGAAAGGGGCUCAGUGCGCCCUCACACCAGAGGUGCUAGUCUUCCCUGAACAUUCCACACACCCCAUUCAGGCCUCUUGUCAUCUUGCUAUCAAUGCUUUCUCAGUAAACUGAGCAAUCUCUUCCCUGAGGAUCUGAGGUCCAGGUUGUAACAUUUUGGGAGCUUGGGAGCUAGGCUCACAACUCUCUCUACCAAGUUCCACACUUCAGAUGAAGGUCUUUUUGACCAGUUCCUGCUAGGUUAGGCUUCAGAUACUUACAAAUGGAGAUAAGGAUGAAGAGCAGAGUGGCCACACCUGCUGUUAGGAAGAACAAAAUACUGAUGUGGUGGGCUAGUUUUUCCAUGUCCUGGAGGUUCGGUAUUAUAACAGGAGGAAUCAAGAACCCUAGGGCAAUACCCACCUGUCAAGAGAGAAAAGCAAUGGGAAUCACAUUACUUUUGUGAAGGGAAAAUCAAUGACUGCAUUCUUGUUAGAGAGAAGAAUGUGAAGAAAGCCACAUUUCCCAAAUUUAAUCCUUCUCAAAACUCAGUCCAUAAUACCUUACCUCCCCCACCAAAAAUAAAGAAAAGACCAGCCCUAUUUAUAAUUACAGGGGAAAAUUCUAAAUAAAAUCUUGGCAUAUAUUAUACUAACAACCUUAUAAAAUUGUAACUAUGGAAAAUUGGUAAUUUACAAAGAUUAGAAGAAAAUUUAAUCAUGUAGCAAGAUGUUAGUACUUUGUAAAAUUAAAUUCAUAAUAAUGACAAUUAAAGAUAAUUUUUGAAUAAGUUAUAAGUAAAUAUUGUCUUUUCACUGGUCAUCUCACCCAAAUUUAGCAUCCUGCUAAAAGGGAGCUGGGGUUUGAACUCUGUAGUAAUACUAAGAGUAGCUAACAUUAGAAAGAACUUUCUUGGUGGCAGGGACUAUGCUAAUAAGUGCUUUACAAAUAUUUUUUCAUUGGGUCUCCAUGACAACCCUUUAAGAUAGGUGUGCUUAUCCCCAUUUCACAGAUGAGGAAACUGAGGCAAAAAAAAAAGAGGUGAAGUGACUUGCCUAGGGUCCCACAGCUAGUAAAUAUCCAUGGCCAAAUUUGAAAUCAGACCUCCCUAAUUCUAAGCUGGAGUUCUAUCCACUGCACUAGCUAGCUGCCUCUAAAGUAGCUAUCUCACAGCACCACAGUUCCUGUACUCUCGUUUCCAUGACAGGAUAAAACAAAGCUAAUUUUUGCUUAGGCUACCUUAACUCUGUUUUCUUUUUGUUUUUAAACCUUGAUUUUAAUGAACUUUAGUUAUCACUAUUAAUAAUAAUUCAUGUUAUUUAUUGUAAGUAUUAAUUAAAUAACAUUCCUUAAAAUACUAUAUAAAUGUGAAUUAUUAGAAUUUUAGUAUAGGUCUCAAGUAGCCUGCAGUUGAUCUGCUUUUUUUUUAAGGCCUUAUUUUCCAUCCUAGUAACAACUAUAAAACAGAAAGGCAAAGGCUAAGCAAAUGGUUUUAAAUGAUGUGCCCAGGGUCACACAGCUAGAACGUGUCUAAGGUCAAAUUUGAACCCAGGUCCUCCUGACUCUAGGCCUGACACUCUAUCCACUAUGCUACCUCGCUGCCCCAAUCUGAGAUUUUCAAAAGAUAUAUCAGUAGAGCACAAGCUUUAUUUAGCAGCUGCAACCAAUCUGGAAAGACCUCAUGUAUGAGCUUGGAGUCAGCCUGGCUAUAUUUGGAAUGUCUUUUUAUCAUCAGGGCAAUGUAACUUUCAAAAGCUAUUGAUGAAAACCUGCAGAAAGAUUUCCAUCAAUGUCUAGAAAGAGAAGGCUCAAAUUGGGUCCUCAAAGCACCUAAGGAUAAUAAACUUGGACUGAGGGACUAGCAGAGAAAAAAUAAAGUUCUUGUUUAAAUUCAAGAAUCUUAAUAAAUCACAAGUUAAAAACUCCAACAGUGAUGGCGUUCAUUCCACUGAGUGAUAAAAACAAGAACCACAUGGAGCCAUGAUAGAAAUAAUUUUAGCAUUGUAUAUUGGAGAAGUCAUCUACCAAAACCCUCUCCUUUCAUAGAUGAGAAAACUGAGACCAGAGAAGCUCAACAACUCACCAGAGUUCACACAGAAGGUAAAUGGCAGAGCUAAGGCUCAAAUCCCAAGUCCUCAGACACAAACUCCAGACUUCUUUCCAACGGUCACAUGCCUCCAUCACCUCUAACCCACAAGCAGCUUACAUUUACAAAUGUAUAAACACUUGAAAACAAAUAUACUGGAUCUCAUACAUAUAUGGAUCUCCAUAAACACACUGAAAGCAAGUUUAGAGUCUUACUGGAGUUGGCCUCUAAUAUAAUUUCUAUAGGGGGAGCUAGUGGUGUAGUGAAGAGAAUCUGAGCCUGGAAUCAGGAAGACUAAUCUUCCUGAGUUCAAAUCUGAACCCAGACACUUUAUUAGUUGUAUGACCCUGGGCAAGUCACUUAACCCUGUUGGCCUCAGUUUCCUUAUCUGGAAAAUGAGCUGGAUAGAGAAAUGGCAAACCACUCUAGUAUCUUUGCCAAGAGAACCCCAAAAGGGGUCAUGAAGAGUCAGACAUGAAUGAAAAGAUUGAAUAACUACUUCAUGGAAUAUAACUGUUUCCUAUAGGCAUAAUCAUCUUAAUUAAAUUUAAACACACAGAACUAAAGCAGCAACUAACCUCAAACCUUCUCUUAUAUUGAUGACUUUAGGGCAGAAAUCAGGAAAUAGGUCUAAGCAGGCUGUGAAAUCCCAACAAAAGAGAUAAAGAAUAGAUUCUUUUGUCCUUAAGCUUCACCUUUUCUUUAAGGGCCUCUAAGGGAUUUAGAGGUAGGAUAAGCUUCCAGGCUCUUAAAGGACAUGCUAUUUUUCCUUUUGGCCAAUACUUCAACAUGUGACAGUAGGAUAUGAGGUGUUAUUGUUAUGUUAGACCACGUGACAGAAUUCAGAGGCAGAUUCCAGCUCUCAUAUGCUUGACAUAAUGGAAAAAGUGUCAGGAAGAUUUGGGUUUUCAAGUCCCACCUAUCACAGCCACAAGACUCAAAUUCUCACUACGUCCCAGUCUAUUAAUUACAGAGCACAUACUAGAAGGAGUUUAAUUACUGGAAGUUCCCUAUACCAAUAAAAAUCACAAUCCAUACCUUCUUCUCUUCUUCCCUAUCUCCACAAAACGGUGACAAAAAUUUCUUUAUUCCUAUGUGUGGGACUUCUCUGAUUGAGGCUUCCAGAAAAAAAUAUCAAUUACCAUUAUUAGACAUAAAUCAGAAGGAUGCUAGUGUGAAGAUUAAAUUUAACUCUCCCCUGAUUGUAAAAAUUAAAUUAACUCCCCUGCCCAUUUUUUAGAUCUAAUCACCAAAGGCGUAAACACCCUAUUCACACUUGAGUGGGGGAGUUCUGUGACCCACGUGUGCAAUAGUGGGUGACGAAUCAGAAUUAAACUGACUGCCCCUAUGCAGUACUAAAGCAAAGCUCCAACUGUGAUUGGUAGAUGUAAAAUUAAGGGAAGGCAUAGGAAGUGAAGGAAAAGAAAGUGUCUUUAAAAGGGAAUUACAACUUCCUGAGUGCAGUUUUUACUUGGAGUUCUACUUGGAGUUGGAUUUCCUGUGAGAAACAGUUCAUCUUUUGGACUUGAGACUGGUGAAGAAUCUGCUGACUGGACCUGAGACCCUGUUCCUGGUAAGACUAUCCUUAAAUCUCCUCCUUUGUACUGACACGUGGUGAGUGAAAAAGCUGACUCCUUCCUGGAUUUUUCUGAAGAUACUAGCCACAGUAGAAGCCUAUCCUCCUGAGAGGAACAUCCCCAGGUCCUCAGCUACAAGGGUCAAGGCCUCUCUGGUUAAGGACUAAACCCCCCUACCUGGGUUGAGCCAGGGGUCGGAGUAUAAAAUACUUAGUUCUUAGGUUAGAUAUCUAACCCUAUCCUCUCUCUGAUUUUCUAACUUCACUCUUUCUAUAUUUUGUAAAUAUAUCUCUUUGGAAUAUAAAUUCCUAGCAACCCUAUUCUUAAAUAAUCCAGUUCAACUUUUUUAUAAAUAAACCCCCUUUUCCCCUUAUACUAGAAAUAUCAUGUAUAUAGAUUUUGGCAAAACAUUUAACAAAUUCUUUCAUCUACAGGUUCCUUCUGACCUCUCUAAUCACUUCCAACCAGGAUUGUGCAAGAGCUAGUUUCUACUAGGGAAAGCUGCUUGUUAACUGUUUCAGAAGGAGCUCAGAAAUCAGCAGUGCUACAAAAGCAGAGUUUAAUUACUGUUUUUGUUGAUUACCUAGAUCUAAGAAUGAGAUAGAUAAAAUGCUAAUAAUCCAGAGUUGGGGAUGUGUGUUUAUAAAAAAUUGGGGGGUAAGUGGAGAGCUAGUUAUUAAACAUUUACCAGCACACUACUGCUUCCAACUCUGUGAUUAUCUCAAGAUAGUUUCCAUUAUCUGGACACUUUGGUUUACCAGUAAGGAUAGUUUCAGAUAUUUAACUUGCACCCCCAACACCUAGCAUAGCAUCUGGCACAUAAGAGAUGAUAAAUAAAUAUUUGUGGAAUAUUUGAUUGAUUGAUUCAGCUUUGAUUUGGUCACUAAGACUAGGGCUUACUAGGUAGGGUGAAAGUAGAGACUGUGGAGUUCAAAUAGACACAUAAGACAUUUCAAAUGAGAAGUGGAAAAAUCCUCUUUGGAUUGAGCUAAAAAAGAAAGGCAAAAUUCUUGAGACACAGGUGCCAAUUACUGAAAGUCACUUUUGAUUUGGUUUGAACACACUAAUUUUACCCUUUCAUCAGUCAUCAUAUCAAUAUUUAGGUGAAGAUAACACACAAGUUACUAGUCCCUGCUGUCCCAGAACUGAAAUCUUUUCAUUGUGUAUAUAUGGAAGGGGGAAGCAGGGUUGACUUCAUUAUUUACAAAACAAGAUUAAAUAUGGCCUAGAUUACUCUCUUGCUUUCAAGUUUUCACUUCACUUUUGCAUCUGCUCUAAAUAGGAGGAGAAACUUGGCACAAGGUUUAAAGAUCAAAGUCCACGUGUCUCCAAAUAAAUUUCAUGGUUCAGAUAUUUUUCUACAGAUUCCAGUAAACAUGUGUGUACACAUCAGGAAGGGAUGAACAGAACCAAUAUCUGUAAAAUGUAUCACUUGAUAUCCAGGCCCCAACCACACGGAUGACAAAAAAGAUUCAAAUCCAUAUAUCCAGAAGAGGAUCAUAUUCUCCAGGACAUUGGUCUCUAAAGUGGUGGCUAUGGUGCAGUCCUAAUGAGACCAUGGCAUGAUCCCAAGGGGUGUUGAUAAACUGAGCAGAGUGUGGUAAUAAUGGAAAUAUUCGUCCCUCCCCACCCUCACUCACAGCUAUCACCUCAUUUCCCACUCAUCUGCUCUCCUUUUGGACUUCUUUGACUUCUCAGUCAUGAUCUCAAGCUCAGUGCCUUUCUCUUUUCUUCUCCCUUCCCCUUCUCUUCUUUUUUGUUUUAUCUUCUUCCAUUGUGUUGGAAGCUCCUUAGAGCAAGUGCUGUCUUUUUCAUAUUUGUCUCUGUAGUGCCUGACACAUAAUAGACUCCCAGCCAAUUGUGGGCUUAAUUCUAACAAAAUCAUGUGACUCCCUUAUUCUAAGAUUCCCACCUCUCAAACUCCAUUAUAACCUAAGUGAACCCAGGCAACUAGCAGAAGCUACAUAGCCAAAAUGUUAGCAUUCUCUACCCAUUCCCCACCAGGCCCUAUGUCUGGCCCCUUUCAUUUCUUGGUUGUUGUAGAAACUCCUCAAAGGGCAGGUUCUCUACUCAAGGGUCACAGUCGUGACAGCCCCCUGCUCAAACACACAUACAUUUCCUUUCUUUUUGUUUUUUGGUGGUAAAGUGGGAACAGCAUAGAAUGAACAGGCACGAUUGGGCUGCAAUUAUAUUCUUUUCCCUCUUCCAAAGUCCUCUAUUUCUAUUAAGGGUCUCAACAUCCUUCCAGGCUCCCACAUUCCCAAUUUCCAGUUUAUUUUUGCCUUCUCAUUCAACUGACACUGUUCUUGAAAGUUACUAGUGAUGGAGCCAGCUAGGGAGCUCAGUGGUUAGAGAGCCAGGCCUACAGAUGGGAGGUCCUAUGUUCAAAUCUGAACUCAGACACUUCCUAGCUAGAAAGUGACCCUGGGCAAGCCAAUCUUAUAUCUUGGAAACAAUAUACAGUAUUGAUUCUAAAACAGAGGGUAAGGUUUUAUGGGGAGUGGCGUUGCGGUGGGGGAGUUACUAGUGAUUUAAUUGCAUUUUCUGAAUCCUUAUCUUUCCUUACCUGGUACAGCCUUUAACAGUGGUGGACCAGCCUCUCCACUGUCUCUUCCUAGAUAAUCUCUCUUCCCUAGAUUUUUGUGAAACUGUUCCCCUUUCCUCCUUUCUCUCUCUCUCUCUCUCUCUCCUCUUCCUGACAAGGGCUGUUCUGCUUUGUGGACUUCUGAUCCAUGUCACACCCACUAAAGCAUACCCCAAGGCUCUAUUGCAGGCCUUCUUCUCUUUUGUCUCUAAUAUUAAUUGGUCUCUUCAGAUCUGAGUUCAAGGAUCAUCUUUGUGUAAAUGCAGAUUCUUACCCUGAGUGAGAUGAUUCCCAAAUCAAUUUAUCCAAUCAUACCCUCUCUCCUCAAUUCCAGGCCCACGUUGCCUAAUAGACAUUUCCAUUUAGAUCUUCCAUAGGCAUCUCAAAUUCAAAAAAGCAUUCAUUAUGCCCCUCUCCAGCCAAACUAACCUCCUUCUUCUGAAUUUCCUUAUUUCUAAACCUCAGGAAACCACUAUCCUUCUCCGUAUCAUCCUUGACUUCUCAUUUUCUUUACUCCACAUUUCCAAUCAGCUGACAAAUCAUGCUCUCUCAUAUCUGCUUCCUCUAUUCACAGAGCUAACACCCGACUUUCAGGCCUUGAUUAUCACCUGCUUAGAGUAUUGUAAUAGCUUCCUAAUUGGUCUCCCUGCCUUAAAUCUCUCCCUCUUGACUCCAUCCUCCACAGAGUAGCUGAAGUGAUGUUCCUAAAGUAAAGGUCUGAUAAUGUUACUACUCCCUUACUCAGUAAACUUCAGUGGCUCCCUAUUGACUAGCAUCAAAUAUGAUUUUAUAUUUAGCUUGAUCUUUUAAAAUAUCUAUUCUUAUGUAAAAUUUAUGAUGAAUAUAAUUAUUAGCACAAAAAUAUGCAUAAAUAACUUCUAAAUAAAUAUGUAUUAGAGGUAUAUGCUCAAUA